This 253-nucleotide ribosomal RNA is filed under the name uncultured bacterium. RNAcentral's name for it is "partial 16S ribosomal RNA". It matches the Rfam family "Bacterial small subunit ribosomal RNA", at positions 524 to 776 of the family's 1533-position model. The record is from RNAcentral.
UACGAAGGGGGCUAGCGUUGCUCGGAAUUACUGGGCGUAAAGGGCGCGUAGGCGGACAGUUUAGUCAGAGGUGAAAGCCCAGGGCUCAACCUUGGAACUGCCUUUGAUACUGGCUGUCUUGAGUUCGGGAGAGGUGAGUGGAAUGCCGAGUGUAGAGGUGAAAUUCGUAGAUAUUCGCAAGAACACCAGUGGCGAAGGCGGCUCACUGGCCCGAUACUGACGCUGAGGCACGAAAGCGUGGGGAGCAAACAGG